GGAAGUAAAAGUCGUAACAAGAUUUCCGUAGGUGAACUUGCGGAAGGAUCAUUCAUAAUAAAGUGUUUUAUGGCACUUUUUAAAAAUCCAUAUCCACCUUGUGUGCAAUGUUAGAUCUCGUCAAUCUUGGCGAGAUUUUUAUACAUCAACUCAUUCUUUAACUAAUUUGUCUGAAAAAUAUUAUGAAUACUUAAUUCAAAAUACAACUUUCAACAACGGAUCUCUUGGCUCUC
RNAcentral lists this unclassified non-coding RNA (233 nucleotides) under plant metagenome. RNAcentral describes it as "partial contains small subunit ribosomal RNA, internal transcribed spacer 1, and 5.8S ribosomal RNA". The stretch from base 1 to 54 matches the Rfam family "Eukaryotic small subunit ribosomal RNA", at positions 1778 to 1831 of the family's 1831-position model. The record is from RNAcentral.